GACGAACGCUGGCGGCGUGGAUUAGGCAUGCAAGUCGAACGGUAUCAUCCUUUCGGGGGUGAGAGAGUGGCGAACUGGUGAGUAACACGUAGGUUAUCUACCCUCAAGACGGGGACAACCCAGGGAAACUUGGGCUAAUACCGGAUGUGAGCAACUUUUAGUUGUUUGAAAGGUGGCGUAAGCUGUCGCUUGGGGAUGAGCCUGCGUCCUAUUAGUUAGUUGGUGAGGUAACGGCUCACCUAGGCAAUGAUAGGUAGGCGGCCUUAACGGGUGGUCGCCCACACUGGGAUUGAGAUACGGCCCAGACUCCUACGGGAGGCAGCAGUCGAGAAUAGUCUACAAUGGUCGGAAGACUGAUAGUGCGACGCCGCGUGAACGAUGAAUCCCUUCGGGGUGUAAAGUUCUUUUAUAUGUGAGCAGUGCUUCUUAUAUUAACAGUACGGGGAGAGAGAUAUUAGCAUAUGAAUAAGCAACGGCUAACUCCGUGCCAGCAGCCGCGGUAAACUCGU
This 509-nucleotide ribosomal RNA is filed under the name uncultured bacterium. RNAcentral describes it as "bacterial SSU rRNA". It matches the Rfam family "Bacterial small subunit ribosomal RNA", at positions 28 to 528 of the family's 1533-position model. The record is from RNAcentral.